RNAcentral lists this ribosomal RNA (435 nucleotides) under uncultured bacterium. RNAcentral's name for it is "partial 16S ribosomal RNA". It matches the Rfam family "Bacterial small subunit ribosomal RNA", at positions 29 to 507 of the family's 1533-position model. The record is from RNAcentral.
AACGAACGCUGGCGGCAGGCCUAACACAUGCAAGUCGAGCGGACAUCUUCGGAUGUUAGCGGCUGACGGGUGAGUAACGCGUGGGAACGUGCCCUUUGCUUCGGAAUAGCCUCGGGAAACUGGGAGUAAUACCGGAUGUACCCUUUGGGGGAAAGAUUUAUCGGCAAAGGAUCGGCCCGCGUUGGAUUAGGUAGUUGGUGGGGUAAUGGCCUACCAAGCCGACGAUCCAUAGCUGGUUUGAGAGGAUGAUCAGCCACACUGGGACUGAGACACGGCCCAGACUCCUACGGGAGGCAGCAGUGGGGAAUCUUAGACAAUGGGGGAAACCCUGAUCUAGCCAUGCCGCGUGAGCGAUGAAGGCCUUAGGGUUGUAAAGCUCUUUCACCGGGGAAGAUAAUGACGGUACCCGGAGAAGAAGCCCCGGCUAACUCCGUG